RNAcentral lists this ribosomal RNA (468 nucleotides) under uncultured bacterium. Its description in RNAcentral is "partial 16S ribosomal RNA". It matches the Rfam family "Bacterial small subunit ribosomal RNA", at positions 28 to 507 of the family's 1533-position model. The record is from RNAcentral.
GACGAACGCUGGCGGCGUGCUUAACACAUGCAAGUCGAACGGUGAAGCUCCAGCUUGCUGGAGUGGAUCAGUGGCGAACGGGUGAGUAACACGUGAGCAACCUGCCCCAGACUCUGGAAUAAGCGCUGGAAACGGCGUCUAAUACUGGAUACGAGAUCAAGCCGCAUGGUUAUGGUCUGGAAAGUUUUUCGGUUUGGGAUGGGCUCGCGGCCUAUCAGCUUGUUGGUGAGGUAAUGGCUCACCAAGGCGACGACGGGUAGCCGGCCUGAGAGGGCGACCGGCGACACUGGGACUGAGACACGGCCCAGACUCCUACGGGAGGCAGCAGUGGGGAAUAUUGCACAAUGGGCGAAAGCCUGAUGCAGCGACGCCGCGUGAGGGAUGACGGCCUUCGGGUUGUAAACCUCUUUCAGCAGGGAAGAAGCGAAAGUGACGGUACCUGCAGAAGAAGCACCGGCUAACUACGUG